Molecule: ribosomal RNA, 253 nt
Filed under: uncultured bacterium
Lineage: Bacteria
Description: partial 16S ribosomal RNA
Rfam family: Bacterial small subunit ribosomal RNA
Source: RNAcentral
UACAGAGGGUGCGAGCGUUAAUCGGAAUUACUGGGCGUAAAGCGUGCGUAGACGGCUAUCUAAGUCGGGUGUGAAAGCCCCGGGCUCAACCUGGGAAUUGCAUUCGAGACUGAAUAGCUAGGGUGCGGUAGAGGGAAGCGGAAUUUCCGGUGUAGCGGUGAAAUGCGUAGAUAUCUGAAGGAACAUCAGUGGCGAAAGCGGCUUCCUGGACCAGCACCGACGUUCAGGCACGAAAGCGUGGGGAGCAAACAGG